AAAUUGAAGAGUUUGAUCAUGGCUCAGAUUGAACGCUGGCGGCAGGCCUAACACAUGCAAGUCGAGCGGUAGCACAGAGAGCUUGCUCUCGGGUGACGAGCGGCGGACGGGUGAGUAAUGUCUGGGAAACUGCCUGAUGGAGGGGGAUAACUACUGGAAACGGUAGCUAAUACCGCAUAACGUCGCAAGACCAAAGUGGGGGACCUUCGGGCCUCAUGCCAUCAGAUGUGCCCAGAUGGGAUUAGCUAGUAGGUGGGGUAAUGGCUCACCUAGGCGACGAUCCCUAGCUGGUCUGAGAGGAUGACCAGCCACACUGGAACUGAGACACGGUCCAGACUCCUACGGGAGGCAGCAGUGGGGAAUAUUGCACAAUGGGCGCAAGCCUGAUGCAGCCAUGCCGCGUGUAUGAAGAAGGCCUUCGGGUUGUAAAGUACUUUCAGCGAGGAGGAAGGCGUUAAGGUUAAUAACCUUGGUGAUUGACGUUACUCGCAGAAGAAGCACCGGCUAACUCCGUGCCAGCAGCCGCGGUAAUACGGAGGGUGCAAGCGUUAAUCGGAAUUACUGGGCGUAAAGCGCACGCAGGCGGUCUGUCAAGUCGGAUGUGAAAUCCCCGGGCUCAACCUGGGAACUGCAUUCGAAACUGGCAGGCUAGAGUCUUGUAGAGGGGGGUAGAAUUCCAGGUGUAGCGGUGAAAUGCGUAGAGAUCUGGAGGAAUACCGGUGGCGAAGGCGGCCCCCUGGACAAAGACUGACGCUCAGGUGCGAAAGCGUGGGGAGCAAACAGGAUUAGAUACCCUGGUAGUCCACGCCGUAAACGAUGUCGACUUGGAGGUUGUGCCCUUGAGGCGUGGCUUCCGGAGCUAACGCGUUAAGUCGACCGCCUGGGGAGUACGGCCGCAAGGUUAAAACUCAAAUGAAUUGACGGGGGCCCGCACAAGCGGUGGAGCAUGUGGUUUAAUUCGAUGCAACGCGAAGAACCUUACCUACUCUUGACAUCCAGAGAACUUAGCAGAGAUGCUUUGGUGCCUUCGGGAACUCUGAGACAGGUGCUGCAUGGCUGUCGUCAGCUCGUGUUGUGAAAUGUUGGGUUAAGUCCCGCAACGAGCGCAACCCUUAUCCUUUGUUGCCAGCGAUUAGGUCGGGAACUCAAAGGAGACUGCCAGUGAUAAACUGGAGGAAGGUGGGGAUGACGUCAAGUCAUCAUGGCCCUUACGAGUAGGGCUACACACGUGCUACAAUGGCAUAUACAAAGAGAAGCGACCUCGCGAGAGCAAGCGGACCUCAUAAAGUAUGUCGUAGUCCGGAUUGGAGUCUGCAACUCGACUCCAUGAAGUCGGAAUCGCUAGUAAUCGUAGAUCAGAAUGCUACGGUGAAUACGUUCCCGGGCCUUGUACACACCGCCCGUCACACCAUGGGAGUGGGUUGCAAAAGAAGUAGGUAGCUUAACCUUCGGGAGGGCGCUUACCACUUUGUGAUUCAUGACUGGGGUGAAGUCGUAACAAGGUAACCGUAGGGGAACCUGCGGUUGGAUCACCUCCUUA
This 1540-nucleotide ribosomal RNA is filed under the name Klebsiella aerogenes. RNAcentral describes it as "16S ribosomal RNA". It matches the Rfam family "Bacterial small subunit ribosomal RNA". The record is from RNAcentral. Lineage: Bacteria; Pseudomonadati; Pseudomonadota; Gammaproteobacteria; Enterobacterales; Enterobacteriaceae.